Molecule: microRNA precursor, 85 nt
Filed under: Caenorhabditis japonica
Lineage: Eukaryota; Metazoa; Nematoda; Chromadorea; Rhabditida; Rhabditidae
Description: mir-85 microRNA precursor family
Rfam family: mir-85 microRNA precursor family
Source: Rfam by way of RNAcentral
UCCGGGAGCCCGGCUUUUCAUUUGUUUGAAACCAGCCAAGACGAGUAUGGUGGUUACAAAGUAUUUGAAAAGUCGUGCUCUGGAA